This 982-nucleotide ribosomal RNA is filed under the name uncultured fungus. RNAcentral describes it as "eukaryotic LSU rRNA". The stretch from base 1 to 242 matches the Rfam family "Eukaryotic small subunit ribosomal RNA", at positions 1593 to 1831 of the family's 1831-position model. Lineage: Eukaryota; Fungi. The record is from RNAcentral.
UUGCUCUUCAACGAGGAAUUCCUAGUAAGCGCAAGUCAUCAGCUUGCGUUGACUACGUCCCUGCCCUUUGUACACACCGCCCGUCGCUACUACCGAUUGAAUGGCUUAGUGAGGACUUGGGAGAGUACAUCGGGGAGCCAGCAAUGGCACCCUGACGGCUCAAACUCUUACAAACUUGGUCAUUUAGAGGAAGUAAAAGUCGUAACAAGGUAUCUGUAGGUGAACCUGCAGAUGGAUCAUUUCGAUGAAAAACCUUUUUUUUCGUGAGGUGUGGCUCGCACCUGUCUAACUAAACCGAGCUACCAUUUUCAACACGGUUGCACGGGGUAGGCCUGUCAGAUAGCGCGCGAAUUGAUUUUCGAGGCUGGACGACCGGGUCUACCAUCAACAUUAAACACUUUUUGAUGAUCUAGGAUUUGAAGGAAGUUCAUUUUACGAUGGAACCGACUGGUAAUGCGGUCGUCUAAAUCUAAAAAAUAACUUUUGGCAACGGAUCUCUUGGUUCUCCCAUCGAUGAAGAACGCAGCGAAUUGCGAUAAGUAAUGUGAAUUGCAGAAGUGAAUCAUCGAAUCUUUGAACGCACCUUGCGCUCCCGGCAGAUCUAAUCUGGGGAGCAUGCCUGUUUGAGGGCCGCGAAUUGUUUCGAACGGACGCUUUUUUUUUCUUUUGGGAAAAAGGUGGACGGAUCGGUAGUGAGGAUUUUUGCCAUUCACCGUGGCUUCCUCGAAAAGCAUGAGCGCAUCCAUUNNUAGGCGAGACGGACGAAAGCUUGUAUUUUCUCGCUCUGUUCUUUCCUGCCGGGUUUUGAUAAUAUCGAAGCUUCGGAGGUCAAAGACAGGGUUCGGAGCUGGACGCAACGACUCGCUGGUUGGAGUGCUUCUAACCCCGCCCAUGCCUGCAAAGGAAGGGAUUUUAAUUUGAUUCAUCGGCCUCAGAUUGGUAGGACUACCCGCUGAACUUAAGCAUAUCAAUAAGCGGAGGA